GGAAUCUUGCGCAAUGGGCGAAAGCCUGACGCAGCAACGCCGCGUGCGGGAAGAAGGCUUUCGGGCUGUAAACCGCUUUCAGUAGGAACGAAACUGACGGUACCUACAGAAGAAGGAGCGGCCAACUAUGUGCCAGCAGCCGCGGUGACACAUAGGCUCCAAGCGUUGUCCGGAUUUAUUGGGCGUAAAGAGCUCGUAGGCGGUUGAGUAAGUCGGGUGUGAAAACUUUGGGCUUAACCCAAAGAUGCCACUCGAUACUGCUCUGACUUGAGUUCGGUAGGGGAGUGGGGAAUUCCUUGUGUAGCGGUGAAAUGCGCAGAUAUAAGGAGGAACACCGGUGGCGAAGGCGCCACUCUGGGCCGAUACUGACGCUGAGGAGCGAAAGCGUGGGGAGCAAACAGGAUUAGAUACCCUGGUAGUCCACGCGGUAAACGGUGGUCACUAGGUGUGGGUCUCUACCAAUGAGAUCUGCGCCGUCGCUAACGCAUUAAGUGACCCGCCUGGGGAGUACGGUCGCAAGACUAAAACUCAAAUGAAUUGACGG
This 544-nucleotide ribosomal RNA is filed under the name uncultured bacterium. RNAcentral describes it as "bacterial SSU rRNA". It matches the Rfam family "Bacterial small subunit ribosomal RNA", at positions 358 to 916 of the family's 1533-position model. The record is from RNAcentral.